This 5157-nucleotide long non-coding RNA is filed under the name Homo sapiens (human). RNAcentral describes it as "HSALNT0124865". The record is from RNAcentral. Lineage: Eukaryota; Metazoa; Chordata; Mammalia; Primates; Hominidae.
CUGCAAGCAGUGAACUGGAGAAACAUCCAGCACUUACUGCUCUACUAUAAGGAAAGAAAUACUCUUAUCAACUGGACAUCCAUAUAGUAGCCACUGUGGAUGUUCCAUGUGCCCAAAGAGUAUGGUGUGCAGAUCAAAGUCAAGGGCAAAACUGUCUGCACGUAUAUCUGAGGGUUCUGUCCAUUUUACAAUUCAGGUGCAUUUUAGAGUCAUCCAAGCUAGUAGCUGCGUCAUAGCCCUAGCAAUGUUAUGUGUGUUCUACAAAUGAAAGAUUUACCAUUAUUUGAAAUUCUUCAUUUCAAAAAGUUUAAAUGGAUUUGAAAUCUAUUAUAACUAUCACAAGAAAUGCUAUCAUUAGAUUAUUAAUGAAAGAAAGAUCUGUAGGAUUCUUUCUAUGUAUAUAACUUCAAUAGUCCCUGCAGGGAGCCGAAGGCCCGUAGGAUGUGACCAACUCAGUAGUCCACUGGAGGAUAUGAUUAAACAGCAAACUGUUUAUCAUGAAUGCAGGAUGUGGGCAAACUCACACUGCCCUGCCACCAAAAGGUUUGCUGAGGGACAUCACUCCCUGGCACCCGGCUCCUUGAAGUUAUCUACUGAGAAAUCUAGCACCUAUUAUCCAAAGGAUGCAGUCUUGCCUGCUGUGAACCAAAUUGCUGACUGACAAUUACCCAACAAUCACACCCCCCACCCCGAUCUCUUUUGCCUAAUAAAUAUGGAGGGCUGUGUAAAUCUCAGGGCCCUUGUGCACUAGAGGCAAGGUGCCCCCCGACCCCUUCUUACAAAUAUACUCUUGUCUCUUGCCUUUGAUUCCUGUGUUCGCCCCCCUUUGUUCAGUCCACCAGGUCUGUACAGGUUACAAGUCCCAAAUUUUUGAAUGGUUGUAAAAUGUGUUUAAAUGAUUUGUCCAUGUCUGUAUAAGCAGAUUUUUAUUGAUGGUGACUAUUAAGAAUUUGAAAAUGUAAUUAAAAAGUCUUGAUAAGGAGCUGUGUGUAGCCCUUUCAAGCAUAAAAUCCAAUUUUUAAACAGAUAUAAGCUCAAGUUUCUCAUUAAAGGUUUUCAACAAUUCUUUUUUGCAAAUUUUACAUGUAUUUAGUAUCUAAAUUUCCUUCUAAACUUUGUGCUGUAUUACCUUGCAUAUGAAAACUGUUUCAAAUUUUCCCCAGGCUCCAUAUGAAAGCACUUGAAUCCCUCCAGUUUAUCUCAGUGCCUUAGACUGGAUCUUCUAGAAACAGAGAAUUCCAGGUAGAAGGUUUAUUGGAGAAUGCCCUCAGGAAAUAUACCUAAAGGAAGUGAAGAUGGAGGCAAGACUGGACAGAGGGAGAAGCUGACUCACAUUGCAGUUACAAGUGAGGCCUCAGCUUAUCCUACUUGGAGCCCUAGAGCUGAAUGAACUUCUAGAGUUGUUUUAAAUUGAGGUGAGGGACUGAGCCUGUGUAUUUAUUCCCCAUCAGCCAUUCAUUAUGCUUGCUGGCAGAGGGCAUAACCUUGAGUGAGGCACACUAUGAAAUGUCAGAAGCCUAUUUCCGCAACAGCUUGGAGAUGGAUGUGAAAUGAACUGCAGAUUCUGAGCGCAGUUUUACAAGCACAACUUGAGUCUGAGUUCUAGCUACUGCCCAGUUGUGUGACCUUGGCCAAAACUGAAUAUGACAGUUCCAGUCUCUUCAGAUAAUUUACAUCAGCCAAUGUCCAAAGAAGUGAAAUAACUUAUUCAAGAUAACACUGCAGGGAGUCAUUCUGCAGACGAGGAGAUGUGAAAAUCCAAGGACCUUGGGGUCAAUUUCACUCAGGCAACAGCCUGGAGAAUAUGAGCCAUAAUUUAUGGAGAUUUAAGAAUUAAUAACAAAAACAUAUCAAAUGCUAAUGACAAAUUCAGAGCUGAAAUGAAACACAAAACCAAGAAUCGGUGCUUAGCAGAAUUUGGUAUGAAGCAGAAAGAGAAAAGUAAAAUUAGCAGAUCAAGGCUUCCAGAAAGGUGGAUGCGUAUGAGGUCCCUAGCCCCAGUACCCUCACAGAAACACAGUUUAGCAACUAUUCAUAGAAAAGAAUGCCUUUGUGAGAAUUCCAAAAGUUGAGCACCCUGGUAGAGUGAAAAAAAUUGCAUUAAAAAAGAUAAAAAUAACCCUUCUUUGUCAGAAGCAAUCCUGCCCAAUCCAGCACAACACAGAGCCAAGAAAGAUCCUGUUGACCCGUGAUUUCUUCAGUGGAGUAAAGAGAGAUCAUGGUGGAUGUUGAACUUCCCCAGCAUUUCAGGGCAUUGCUCUAGAGACCCACUUAUGCCUCACCUCAUAUCACACACUGGGGAAAUUGGCAUGGCUAGACCACCUGGGAACAAUCAGGAAUAACAGAAAGAGGCAGGGGCUCUCAGCAGCCAGUGCAUACAGAUCUCAGAGGCAGUCCCACAGCCCCUGUGAGCAGCCUUGCCUGACUGUGGCCCUAACCAACAACUCCAUCAAACCAAAGAGUCAAGUCGGCUGGCUCCACCCAACUAUAGAGCUCAGAGAGCAGGCUCACAUAACCUUAGAGCCCAGGCAACCAGCCCCACCCACCUGUGAAGCCCUACCAGACAACCAUGCUCAAAAGUAAAACUUUGGUAACAGGCUCCAUUUAACCAAGAAUUCAACAGGCCCUGUUUCAACUUUGAACCCAAUGGACCUCACUCACAGGCCUCACUUGCCCACAGAUAACUGCCAUCUGGCCCACCCAGAGUCCUAAGCUAGGCUGACUAGUGAAAGUCUUUCCCUGCUAAGAACAGACUAUAAAGACUGGAAGAGAGAACCACUUCUUCAAAUGUGCAGACAUAAAUGUAAGAAUAUAAGGAUCAUGAGAAAUUAAGGAAACUUGAUAACACCAUAGGAAACUAAAAAAGUUUCAAUAAUUGACCCCAAAUAAAUGAUGAUCUACGAAGUGCCUUACAAAGAAAAAUAAUAAUCGUCUUAAAGAAGCUUAGUGAACUAUUAGGCAGACAACUAAACAAAAUUAGAGAGGCAAUACAUAAACAAAAUGAGAAGUUCAAAAAGAAAUGAAAACCAUAAAACCAAAGAAACAGAAAUCCUGGAUUUGAAGAAUACAAUAACUAAACUGAAAAAAAAUUAAUAGAGGGCUUCAACAAAUGACCCAAUUAAGCAGAAGAAAGAAGUAGUUACCUUGAAGACAGGUCAUUUAAAUUAUGUAGUCAGAGAAGCUAAAAGGAUAAAGAAUGAAAAACACCGAAGAACCCCUACAGGACAUAUGAGACACCAUCAAGUAGUUCAAUAUACACAUUAUGAGAGUCUCUGAAGGAGAAAAGAAAGAGAAGGGGAGAAAAAAGUGUUUUCAAGGUUAUGAAGAAAUUGGAAUUCUUGUACACUGUUGGUGAGAAUGUAAAAUGGUAUAGCCACUAAGAAAAACCAGUAUGUAGGUCCCUCAAAGAAAUAAAAAUAAAACUUCCGUAUGAUCCAGUAAUCCCACUUCUAGGUGUAUAUCUGAAAGAAUUGAAAUCAGGAACUUGAAAUGAUAUCUGUACUCCCAUGUUCCUUCCAGCAUUAUUCACAAUAGUUAAGGUAUGGAGUUGUUACUAUUAUAAAUGGAUAUAAAGUUACAGUUAUACAGUAUGAGUAAGUUCCAGAAUUCUGCUGUACAACAUAAUGCCUGUAGUUAACAAUAAGGUAUUGUGCACUUUAAAAGGUAGUACAAGGAUAGAGCUCAUGUUAAGUGUUCUCAUCACAAAUUUUAAAAAAAGAAACAAAAAAUAAAGUGGCACAUGGAAACUUUUGGAUGUGAUGAAUAUAUUGAUUACCUUGAUUGUGGCAAGGUAACACUGGUAUAUGCAUAUGUUUGAACUCACCAAAUUGUACACACUAUGUGCAGUUUUGUGCACCAAAUAUACCUCAAUAACUUUGGGGAAAAUUAAAUUUAUUUUUUAAAAAAGUUUAGAUCAGGUCAUGUACAAUUGCCCUAACUGGGAGAUGAUUUGUCCAUAAGCCAUUUUUAAUAUCUCAUGACUCAACAUACAGCAACAGCUAAGAUUGGCUUAAUGGUUCACCACACACUCCUUUAGAUGGUCACAGAAUUGGAAGGAACCAGAAUGAACUAUGAAUAUGAAAAUCCAUCAAUAAUUUACAAAAUAGCCUUUAAAUUCUUUAUUGCUGAUUUUAUAACUAUUUUACUUUUUAUUUUAUUUAUAAGAGAAAAUUGUGUUGAUACAUGAGGAACGUUCCUCACUAUUUGACUAUGGCUUCAUCAUAGCAUAUGUUAGUCUGCUAGUAUCAGAAAAUUUGUGUGACACCUGCAAACUAAUCAGAGUUUCUAGGUUAAAGGGUGUGUCAGACACUCUGGAUAAAGUUCUUUCUCUGGAUUAAACUAGAAAUCUCAGGACCUGUAUAUUCUAACAUCUUGUUCAGUAGGGAAAAAUGGUAUGGGUGGUGGGAAGAGGCCAUUGAGUACAACUAGUCUCAUACAACUAGAGCCAGGUUUCCUAAUGAAAAUUGCAAUGUUAGGAUGUUCUCCACUUUACUAAAAGUCAUAAGUUUUAGAAAGUUAUUUCUUUUUCGGAGUCAUAUCUUCCUCCCUGAGAGUUCCAUUCCAUUAUCCUAAAGUUUCUCUGGAACCACUCAAAGUAGCUUCACUCUCUCUGAGAGAAAACUCUUUAAUAUUUGACAGUUUUUAUCAUUGCCUUCAGUGUCUUCUGUUCUCCAAAGAAGACACAUAUAACAAUGAGGCUAAACUAACCAGCUUCAACAGAAAGGUCUUAGAAAUGAUGCCAGUAUAUUUAUUGGCUUAAUAUAGACACAAUUAUCCAUUCUGAGCAGAGAUGACAAAAUUACAUCUUUGACAGAGCAAAGUUCUUCAUAAGGGGACCACUUGUGGGCAAAUUUUGGGAUGUAUGUACCCUUGUUUAUUUUUACUUCACUUUUAUCAUAUUUUCAGAUGGACUUUAUUACUCAAAAAGACUAAGAAUAAUUGACUUGUUGAAGACUUUAUUAUAAACAUAUUGCACAGUUCUCCUUGGUCACAUUAUAAGAACAUUUGGGUAUGUCUGUGACUCAUCAGUGAUUAUCAGUGGGCAAAUGUGAACAACUACUGUGGUAUCUUCAGCAAAGUCCUGCAGCCUCACAUAAAUAAAUGAAAGGAAAAACUGGGGAAGGAAAGAAGAGAAAGCAAAGGAAAAAAGGAAGGAAG